UAGGGAAUCUUCCACAAUGGACGCAAGUCUGAUGGAGCAACGCCGCGUGAGUGAAGAAGGUUUUCGGAUCGUAAAGCUCUGUUGUUGGUGAAGAAGGAUAGAGGUAGUAACUGGCCUUUAUUUGACGGUAAUCAACCAGAAGGUCACGGCUAACUACGUGCCAGCAGCCGCGGUAAUACGUAGGUGGCAAGCGUUGUCCGGAUUUAUUGGGCGUAAAGCGAGCGCAGGCGGAAGAAUAAGUCUGAUGUGAAAGCCCUCGGCUUAACCGAGGAACUGAAUCGGAAACUGUUUUUCUUGAGUGCAGAAGAGGAGAGUGGAAUUCCAUGUGUAGCGGUGGAAUGCGUAGAUAUAUGGAAGAACACCAGUGGCGAAGGCGACUCUCUGGUCUGCAACUGACGCUGAGGCUCGAAAGCAUGGGUAGCGAACAGG
Molecule: ribosomal RNA, 429 nt
Filed under: bacterium
Lineage: Bacteria
Description: partial 16S ribosomal RNA
Rfam family: Bacterial small subunit ribosomal RNA
Source: RNAcentral